AAUUCUUACACUUUUAUAUUUUUUGGCCACCUCCCUCACCGAUGACUUUUUGGACGAACCCCAAAACCCCAUUUCAUUUUCCCAUUUUUUUAAGCAAAGAACCACACAAAAAGAGUCACUAGACCAAACAGUCAUCUUGUUCAUAGCUGCUGCCAGCAACUCUCUCCAGACACUGCGAGCUCUUCUUAUUCCCACAUCUACAAACAAGCUCUAACUGAAACCAUUCAUCGUCUUCCCCACAUUAGCAAACAAAACACCACUGAAAUAACCACCACAACCCACUCCUAAACCUGACGCAAACCUCAACCAACAACCCCCAAAAAACGAUCAACACAGUCUAAAAACCGGAGUAGCAACCACAAAACAAGCCUUAGUUCAUCCGUUUUUUCCCUUUCCAGAUCCACCACAAACCCCAUACCCUCUCCCCUUUACAUUUUCUAUCUCAGUUUCUUUGCAGGUGAAUGAACCAUCAAGAUAUUAGCUCCAUAAAAUUGAAGAGAGCUUUGAGGCUUAUCGAAAGAAAAUAACCAACUCUAGCGAAAUCGAGAUUGAGAGAGCUCUCUGUCAUCCUUUUUUACCAAGGCCGGACUUUUCUAUACUCAACCAUUUUUGGAAUGAUCAAAAAUUUAUUGGUUCGUCAUCCCCUUGGGUUCCCACUCAUUCAAAAUCAUUCUUGGUCAGCUAAUUUUAGAACCUUUAUUAUCUCAGUAUAUUCUCUAUUCGAGUUACAAUCUUUUGCAACUACUAUUAACUUGAUUCCUUUUUCAACGGGAUACGUAAUCGUUACAAGGGCUCUGUCAUCUUCCCUGUAAGCUUUCAAAAAUAUGAAAACGGAAACUGGGGAAAACUUUUUUGAGGAGGUCUCCAAGAAUUUUUACAAACGAGAUAGUACAAUAUUAAAUAUCGGAGGUUGUUGAAGCCGAAAAAGGGACAAAAUUUUUAUGGAAUGUAUUUAAAACUUUCACCAAGUUUGUACACAGACAUUCAGAAUUUUUGAGGCUUCACUCCGAGUUGGUUUGUAUAUUUUUUCAUUAAUUUUUUUAAAUGAUGUCACAUUCAUUGUAUAUCUUUGAUUUUUAUUAUAUUCCAUUGAAAAUGUUACAUUAAUUGACAUUUUUUAAGUUGGGUUGUCCGCCCUCCAAUAUGACUCAUUCAAUUUUUUUAGUUUUGCCAUUUUUUCAUUAAUUAAUAAUUCUUUUGGUUUUGUUUUUGUUAAGUUUGGGUAGUCCGCUCUUCAACGUGACUCAUUAAUUUCUUUUUUUUUGUGGCUUUGGUUAAAUUUGGGUUGUCCGCCCUUCAAUGUGAUUCACUGAUUUCUUCGUUCUUGUUCAGUUUUUUUGAUUAAUAAGAAAUAUUUUUUGUUAAGUUUAGGUUGCCCGAAUUUCAAUGUGGCUCAUUGGUUAUUUAUUUUCAAUAUUUUUCCUUUCAAAAAUUAAUUUGUUGUUUAUAGAUUUUAUGUCAUUUCUGGAAGACCUACGCAAACCUGAUUCUCAUCAAUGAGAACUGUAGGCAUCCCUUAUUGAGUUCAAUAUUAUUUAUUCAAAAGAUCUUCUUAUUUUUUAUUCUUUUAAUAUUUAUAUUUUUGAAAUUAUUUUUUGACUUUGUUACUGUCAACACAAUUCAAGUGUGCAUGUGAAAAUAAUUUAUACAGUAAAGAAGACUGAUUUCUUUUAAAACCAUAGAAUCUUUUUUGUUCCUCUCGUUCAUACUUUUUUCACACUUGUAAAAUUCUCUUAUAUACAUUCAAGAUUAGAACAAAAUAAGAUUUAUUGUUUCAUGUGCAUUGUGUGGUGAAUUUUGAAAUAAAUUCAAUUAUUUUGCAUUGUUGAUCUAGAACUUGGCCUAAACGUUAUGGAGGCGAAAUUCUUAGUAAUAUUUUAUUUGAAAACUUAUUAUAAGCCUUCUUUGAGAUUUUUGAGCCUUUCAAAGCCUACAAAAUGACAUAUACCCUUAGUGUGUCCUACUUUGAGCCUUAAGCCUUUUAUUUUUACCACAUCUUAGAGUAUACCCUUUGUAAGUGUUGUUACGCACUAUCUCUCUUUUUGCCUGAUUUUCUCGGGUACACUGAAGGCAUGCAAGUUAUAAGAGAAAAUUGAAAGUCCAUUUUGUAAAACACAAAAGUUAUCAAAUAUCGUGAAUGUCAAGAAAACAAAAAUGACUUCAAAAGAACGAAAAAAAAAGCAAGUGUUCAAAAUUCCCCAUAAGUUUUAGCGAACAGAAUUUGAAGAAAAGAAAAUAAACACUCCAAAGAAAAAGAAGAGAAUUCAAAAGGGAAAAACUCAGACAAAAAAGGUUCCAAAGAAUUCAAAAGUUCAUAAGGAAGGGACAACAAAGAGAAUCAAACGCUAAAAGCGUAAUAAAUGUUGAAAGCAUCUAUUUAGUUGCAAUGCUCAAGAAGGAAAUAAGUCACUUUUAUCCCAAAUGACUAUCCUACCCGUCCCUAAGCCUACAUUACAACCAAUUAACAAGCCCUACAUGAUUUCAAUUCAAAUGACACUAGUGGAGAUUUACAUUAAGUUCAAGCAUAUGGUAUCACAAUUGCAUGCGUUGAACAUUUUUAUGAGUAUGAGUAUUUUUUUCAGAUGCUCCCAAAUCAAAACACUUUAAAUGUGCAAAAAUUAAAAAUUUCUUUCUUGUGAGGACACUUGAAAUAUGAUGAUAGGUCUAGUUCAAAGACUUUGUCUGAAGCAAGCUGAACAAAUUUUGUCGUUACUUAACAACAUUUGAGGUACCACUUGAAUCUAUAGGAAUUGCCUUGAAAUCAAUGUCAGUAAAAAAUUAGAAUUGCGAGAUAUUUGUAUAAUACUUCUGUUAGUGCUAACCAAGAUAAAGUAUGUUUCAUUGUUAAUAAAAUAAAAAUAAUUAUCCACUUUUAUGAUUUUUGUCCAAACAACUCUGUAGACUGUUGCACUGUUGAUAUCUAUCCAAAUAUGUUUGUGGACCAACUGAUAGUUAAAAUUGCAUUUUCGGUAGUCAUACUCUUCAAAACGACAUUUUUUUUAUUUUUGGUUGUCAUACUGUUCACGUUGACAUCAUUUUAUUUUUAUGCUCCAUGUUGGUCUAGACAACUUUGUUGGCUGUUUCAUAGUUGAUAUUUGUCCAAAAACAUUUGUGCACUGUUUUGAAGUUCAAAUUGCAUUUUCGGUAUCAUACCUUUCAAAAUGACAUCUUUUUAUUUUUUGUUGUCAUACCUUUCUAAUUAUUAUCAAUAUAUAUUUAUGUCCCAUAUUUUUUCAUAACAACUAUGUGUACUGUUUUAUUUGAUAUUUUAUCCAUACCAACUUUCUGUACCGUUUCAUUGUUGAUAUUCGUCCAAAUAACUUUGUGGACCAUUUCAAAUUUCAUAUUGCAUUUUUGGUACUCAUACCCUUCAAAAUGAUAUCUUUUUAUUUUUCGGUAGUCAUACCAUUCAAAAUGAAAUCUUUUUAUUUUUCGGUAGUCAUACACUUCUAACUUACAUCUUUUUUAAUUUUAGUAGUCAUACCCUUUAAAAUGACGUCUUUUAUUUUUUGGAUCAUCAUAUCCUUCAAAAUGACAUUUUUUGGGGUCAUCUAACUUUUUUUUUAAUUGUCAUACCUUCAAAAUGACAUUUCCUUGAAUUUGGAUAGUCAUACUCUUCAAUGACAUUUUUAUGUCGUCAUACCUUUCAAAAUGAUAUCUUUUAGAAAUUAAUUUAUUAUCUAAAAUAAAUUAAUUCUUUUCAAAUUGGUUUGUCAUGCUGAUCAAUAUGACACUUUUUAUUGUGUUAUUUCUUAUUAAAUUGACAUUUUAUUUAAUUCAUGAUGUUAUUAAGGUUAAAUCGUCACGUUGGUUAAUACAUUGUCCAAUGGUCAUGUUUGCAUAAUUUAUGUCAUAUUUUCUACUAACAUUGAUAUUGCAGAUUUUGUAAUACAUCAUUCAUGUUAAGUUCAAAUUGGCUCGUCCGCCUUUCCAAGAGACACGUUGGGUUGUCAUCUCCCAUAAAAAGACAUGUUCAAGUUGGGAUGUCCUCUUUUCAAAGAGAUAUGUUGGAUUGUCAUCUCCAUUCAAAUGACAUGUUAAGUUCAAGUUGGGUUCUCCCUUCAAAUGAAACAUUAAGUUCAAGAUUUCGUUGUCAUCUCCCUUCAAAUUACACGUUGAGUUCAAAUUGGGUCAUCCGCCUUUCAAAGAGACAAGAUUGGGUCGUCAUCUUCCUUCAAAUGACAGGUUGAGUUCAAGUUGGGUCGUCCGCCUUUCAAAGAGACAUGUAAGGUUGUUACGUAAUUCUAAGUGGCAUGUUAAGUUCAAGUGGGGUCGUCUUCUUUACAAAGAGACACGCUGGGUUGUCAUCUCCCUUCAAAUGACAUGUUCAAGUUGGAUUGUCCGCCUUUCAAAGAGAUAUGUUGGGUAGUCAUCUUCCUUCAAAUGACACACUAAGUUCAAAAUUAAGUUUUCACUCCAUUCUAAUAACAUGUUAAGUUCAAGUUGGGUCGUCCUCCUUUAAAAGAGGCAUGUUGGGUUGUCAUCUCCCUUCAAAUGACAUGUUAUGUACAUGUUGGGUCGUCUGCCUUUCAAAGAGACAUGUUGGGUUGUAAUAUCCCUUCAAAUGACAAAUUAUGUUCAAUAUUGGCUUUUCAUUUCCCUUCAAAUGACACAUUGAGUUCAAAUUUGGUCGUCCGCGUUUCAAAGAGACAUGUUGGGUAGUCACAACCUUCAAGAAAAACAUUAAGUUCAAGAUUUGAUUGUCAUCUUCCUUUAAGUGGCACUUUAAGUUAAAGAUUGGGUUGUCAUCUCCCUUAAAAUGACACUUUAAAGUCAAGAUUGGGUUGUAAUCUAUCUUCAAAUGACAUGUUAUGAUGAAAUCAGGUCAUCCACCAUUCAAAGAGACAAAAUUGGGUCGUCUUCUCAAUUCAAAUGACAUGUUAAGUUCAAGUACAAUCGACCGCCUUUCAAAAAUAUAAGUUGGGUUGUCACCUUGUUCAAAGUGGAAUGUUAAGUUCAAGUUGGGUCGUCCGCCUUUCAAAGAGAUAUGUUGGGUUGUCGCCUCGUUCAAUAUGACAUGUUAUUCGCAUCAUCCUUCUUUCAAAAAGGUACACCACCUUCAUUGUGAUAUUUUGAAAGUAAUAUCAAAGGUAUGUGAAUAUUGUAAGUUUACAAUUAAUGUUUGUCUUUUGUUCAUUA
This is a non-coding RNA of Solanum lycopersicum (tomato), 5139 nucleotides long. NCBI's taxonomy places the organism in Eukaryota, Viridiplantae, Streptophyta, Magnoliopsida, Solanales, Solanaceae. The record is from RefSeq and is a predicted model, not a curated record.